GCUAAUUUGGCAGAUUAAUUGUAUCAAAUUUAGAAUUUGAGUAGGCUACUUAGCAAUUAGUA
Molecule: transfer RNA, 62 nt
Filed under: Ornithodoros tartakovskyi
Lineage: Eukaryota; Metazoa; Arthropoda; Arachnida; Ixodida; Argasidae
Description: tRNA-Leu
Source: RNAcentral